RNAcentral lists this long non-coding RNA (237 nucleotides) under Chinchilla lanigera (long-tailed chinchilla). RNAcentral's name for it is "lncRNA (ENSCLAG00000024001.1)". The record is from RNAcentral. Lineage: Eukaryota; Metazoa; Chordata; Mammalia; Rodentia; Chinchillidae.
AUGUGCUCAAGAGCUGGAAAGGAAGAUCUCCAGACACCAGAAACAGGAAGCAGAGGUGGAUCAGAAGAAGACCUGGGGCCUCUGGAUAAAGGCAUCGAGCCUCAGCAAACAUUACUAAGCAUCCAAUGUGUACCAAGCCCACUGGCGAAACUGUUCAGAUGUAAGGAGAAAUAGACGUAUGCUCUUUCCUGUGAGUAUUCUGAAGCUUUAAGAUCCCUUGUAUAUUUAUAAGAUGUA